This 500-nucleotide ribosomal RNA is filed under the name uncultured bacterium. RNAcentral's name for it is "partial 16S ribosomal RNA". It matches the Rfam family "Bacterial small subunit ribosomal RNA", at positions 30 to 523 of the family's 1533-position model. The record is from RNAcentral.
AUUGAACGCUGGCGGAAUGCUUUACACAUGCAAGUCGAACGGCAGCACGGACUUCGGUCUGGUGGCGAGUGGCGAACGGGUGAGUAAUGUAUCGGAACGUGCCCAGUCGUGGGGGAUAACGUAGUGAAAAUUACGCUAAUACCGCAUACGAUCUAUGGAUGAAAGCGGGGGAUCGCAAGACCUCGCGCGAUUGGAGCGGCCGAUAUCAGAUUAGGUAGUUGGUGGGGUAAAGGCCCACCAAGCCAACGAUCUGUAGCUGGUCUGAGAUGACGACCAGCCAAACUGGAACUGAGACACGGUCCAGACUCCUACGGGAGGCAGCAGUGGGGAAUUUUGGACAAUGGGCGAAAGCCUGAUCCAGCCAUUCCGCGUGCAGGAUGAAGGCCCUCGGGUUGUAAACUGCUUUUGUACAGAACGAAAAGGUUUCUACUAAUACUAGGAGCUCAUGACGGUACUGUAAGAACAAGCACCGGCUAACUACGUGCCAGCAGCCGCCGCCG